UAACACUAAUGUUUCUUCAUUCGAGAAAAAAUCUCUCACCUUUUACUAGAGAUUUCCGUGGGGAGGCAUAAUACAAUGAGUUUAGUCUCUUUUUUUUCUUACAUAUACAUUAUGCUAUGAA
This 121-nucleotide small nuclear RNA is filed under the name Schistosoma japonicum. RNAcentral describes it as "U5 spliceosomal RNA". It matches the Rfam family "U5 spliceosomal RNA". From Rfam's summary of the family: U5 RNA is a component of both types of known spliceosome. The record is from Rfam by way of RNAcentral. Lineage: Eukaryota; Metazoa; Platyhelminthes; Trematoda; Strigeidida; Schistosomatidae.